AAUGCCUACGGGAGGCAGCAGUGAGGAAUAUUGGUCAAUGGACGGAAGUCUGAACCAGCCAUGCCGCGUGCAGGAUGGCGGCUCUAUGAGCUGUAAACUGCUUUUGUACGAGAAUAAUAGUUCUUACGUGUAGGGAUUUGAAUGUAUCGUACGAAUAAGGAUCGGCUAACUCCGUGCCGGCAGCCGCGGUAAUACGGAGGAUUCGAGCGUUAUCCGGAUUUAUUGGGUUUAAAGGGUGCGUAGACUGUCGGAUAAGUUAGAGGUCAAAUGUCGGGGCUUAACCCCGUGCCUGCCUCUGAUACUGU
Molecule: ribosomal RNA, 305 nt
Filed under: uncultured bacterium
Lineage: Bacteria
Description: bacterial SSU rRNA
Rfam family: Bacterial small subunit ribosomal RNA
Source: RNAcentral